Molecule: ribosomal RNA, 253 nt
Filed under: uncultured bacterium
Lineage: Bacteria
Description: partial 16S ribosomal RNA
Rfam family: Bacterial small subunit ribosomal RNA
Source: RNAcentral
UACGUAGGGGGCAAGCGUUGUCCGGAAUUAUUGGGCGUAAAGCGCGCGCAGGCGGUCCUUUAAGUCUGAUGUGAAAGCCCACGGCUCAACCGUGGAGGGUCAUUGGAAACUGGGGGACUUGAGUACAGAAGAGGAAAGUGGAAUUCCACGUGUAGCGGUGAAAUGCGUAGAGAUGUGGAGGAACACCAGUGGCGAAGGCGACUUUCUGGUCUGUAACUGACGCUGAGGCGCGAAAGCGUGGGGAGCAAACAGG